CACGUAGGGGGCGAGCGUUGUCCGGAAUCAUUGGGCGUAAAGAGCUCGUAGGCGGCUCGGUAAGUCGGGUGUGAAACCCCCAGGCUCAACCUGGGGACGCCACCCGAUACUGCUGUGGCUAGAGUCCAGUAGGGGAGUGUGGAAUUCCCGGUGUAGCGGUGAAAUGCGCAGAUAUCGGGAGGAACACCAGCGGCGAAGGCGGCACUCUGGGCUGGAACUGACGCUGAGGAGCGAAAGCGUGGGGAGCGAACAGG
RNAcentral lists this ribosomal RNA (254 nucleotides) under uncultured bacterium. RNAcentral describes it as "partial 16S ribosomal RNA". It matches the Rfam family "Bacterial small subunit ribosomal RNA", at positions 524 to 776 of the family's 1533-position model. The record is from RNAcentral.